RNAcentral lists this ribosomal RNA (446 nucleotides) under uncultured bacterium. RNAcentral's name for it is "SSU rRNA". It matches the Rfam family "Bacterial small subunit ribosomal RNA", at positions 26 to 518 of the family's 1533-position model. The record is from RNAcentral.
AGAGCGAACGCUGGCGGCAGGCCUAAUACAUGCAAGUCGAACGGAUCCUUCGGGAUUAGUGGCGGACGGGUGAGUAACACGUGGGAACGUGCCCUUUGGUUCGGAACAACUCAGGGAAACUUGAGCUAAUACCGGAUAAGCCCUUCGGGGGAAAGAUUUAUCGCCAUUGGAGCGGCCCGCGUCUGAUUAGCUAGUUGGUGGGGUAAAGGCCUACCAAGGCUACGAUCAGUAGCUGGUCUGAGAGGAUGAUCAGCCACACUGGGACUGAGACACGGCCCAGACUCCUACGGGAGGCAGCAGUAGGGAAUCUUGCGCAAUGGGCGAAAGCCUGACGCAGCCAUGCCGCGUGAAUGAUGAAGGUCUUAGGAUUGUAAAAUUCUUUCAGCGGGGACGAUAAUGACGGUACCCGCAGAAGAAGCCCCGGCUAACUUCGUGCCAGCAGCCGC